UGCAUGCCUUAGAAAUGGGCGGUCUUCUCUCAAAUCUGCGAACGGCUCCGUAUAUCUGUUUUAAUCAAUCGCCCAUGUGCCUGCCCCAAAAGGCUGUUCAAACCCCCAAGCGGAUAUGGCCCGGUAAUUCUGUCAGUAAUACGUUUCACGCCCCCCCCCCUCCGGGGGGAGGGGCAUUAGCCGUCAGGGCGCUGGUCCCGCAACACAGCGGGGAGCAACGAACCACGCCCUGCAUCGGCCGGCCUAGCACCGGGACAACACGCCAUUACCGUAAGGGGGGAAAUCUGCGAGAGCAUGCUAGGGGGCCCGACCGCCCUGUGAAAGGGCGGCGGAGGCGGUGGGUCUCAAACCUAUCAACUGGCGGGCAGGGUAAGGGCCCGCCCGGGUGAUAACGGGUACAGAGGAUCAGGGUUUGGUCCUGGAGAGGAAGCCUGAAAGAUCGCUUCUACUUCUAAGGAAGGCAGCAGGCGCGCAACGUUCCCAAUGGGGAGGCAGGGGGCGGCGGGCUCCUAGAGCCCAAUAGCCCGCCCCCACACCGCCCUGAGGACGUGACGGGGCAUAUCAAUGCUCGGCCGAUAAGGCCGGGUAA
Molecule: ribosomal RNA, 589 nt
Filed under: Arcyria cinerea
Lineage: Eukaryota; Evosea; Eumycetozoa; Trichiida; Trichiidae
Description: partial small subunit ribosomal RNA
Rfam family: Eukaryotic small subunit ribosomal RNA
Source: RNAcentral